UAUAAGCUAUUAAGGGCUAAUGGUGGAUGCCUUGACUGUAAGAGGCGAUGAAAGACGUAUUAGGCUGCGAUAAGCCUCGGGGAGCUGCCAAAGAGCUUUGAUCCGGGGAUUUCUGAAUGGGGCAACCCAAUAUAAUGAGAAUUAUAUUACCCUACGGGGAGCGAACCUGGUGAAGUGAAACAUCUCAGUAGCCAGAGGAAGAGAAAUCAAUUGAGAUUCCGUCAGUAGCGGCGAGCGAACGCGGAUUAGGACAAACCCAAUGCUUGCAUUGGGGGUUGUAGGACUAUAAUGUGUAGUUAAAGAGAAUAGAUGAAUUAGUUGGAAAGCUAGAGCAUAGAAGGUGAUACUCCUGUAAUUAAAAUUCUCAAUAACGCUAAUAGUAUCCUGAGUAGGUCGGAACACGUGAUAUUUUGACUGAAGCUGGGGGGACCACCCUCCAAUCCUAAAUACUACUUACAGAUCGAUAGUGAACAAGUACCGUGAGGGAAAGGUGAAAAGUACUGCAGCGAGCAGAGUGAAAUAGAACCUGAAACCAUUAGCUUACAAUCAUUCAGAGCCCUAUGAUUUAUCAGGGUGAUGGACUGCCUUUUGCAUAAUGAGCCUGCGAGUUGUGGUGUCUGGCAAGGUUAAGCCAAGUGCGAAGCCGUAGCGAAAGCGAGUCUUAAUAGGGCGACAUAGUCAGAUGCUGCAGACCCGAAACGAAGUGAUCUAUCCAUGAGCAGGUUGAAGCUGGUGUAAGAGCCAGUGGAGGACCGAACCCGCUGACGUUGAAAAGUCUUGGGAUGACUUGUGGAUAGGGGUGAAAGGCCAAUCAAACUUCGUGAUAGCUGGUUCUCUCCGAAAUAUAUUUAGGUAUAGCCUUGUGUUGUAGCAUAUAGGGGUAGAGCACUGAAUGGGCUAGGGCUGCUUACCGCGGUACCAAACCCUAUCAAACUAUGAAUACUAUAUGUGGAAUCACAGGAGUCAGGCGGUGGGUGAUAAAAUCCGUCGUCAAGAGGGGAACAACCCAGACUAACAGCUAAGGUCCCUAAGUUACAUCUAAGUGGAAAACGAUGUGGAGUUACUGUGACAACCAGGAGGUUGGCUUAGAAGCAGCCAUCCUUUAAAGAAAGCGUAACAGCUCACUGGUCUAGUGAUUCUGCGCGGAAAAUAUAACGGGGCUAAGAUGUACACCGAAGCUUUAGAUUCAAUUUUUAAUUGAGUGGUAGGAGAGCGUUCUAUUCAGCGUUGAAGGUAUACCGGUAAGGAGUGCUGGAGCGGAUAGAAGUGAGCAUGCAGGCAUGAGUAGCGUUAAAACAGGUGAGAAUCCUGUUCGCCGAAAACCCAAGGUUUCCUACGCGAUGCUCGUCAUCGUAGGGUUAGUCGGGUCCUAAGUCGAGUCCGAAAGGGGUAGACGAUGGCAAAUUGGUUAAUAUUCCAAUACCAACAUAUAAGCGCGAUGUGGGGACGCAUAGAGUUAAUCGAGGUCACGGAUGGAAGUGUGGCUCGAAGGAUGUAGGUUGUUAAGUAGGCAAAUCCGCUUAACGUUAGACCGAGAUCUUACAGGCUCUUGACACUCUUCGGAGGAGAUGGAGAAUCGAUGAUACUGUCGUGCCAAGAAAAGCCACUAAGUAUAUUAUAUGUUGCCCGUACCGUAAACCGACACAGGUGGGUGGGAUGAGUAUUCUAAGGCGCGUGGAAGAACCCUCUUUAAGGAACUCUGCAAACUAGCACCGUAUCUUCGGUAUAAGGUGUGCCUACUUUGGUAUAUGGACUUGCUCCAAAAAGCUAAAGAGGUUGCAACAAAGAGUCCCUCCCGACUGUUUACCAAAAACACAGCACUUUGCUAACACGUAAGUGGAUGUAUAAGGUGUGACGCCUGCCCGGUGCUCGAAGGUUAAUUGAUGAUGUCAGCGCAAGCGAAGCAUUUGAUCGAAGCCCGAGUAAACGGCGGCCGUAACUAUAACGGUCCUAAGGUAGCGAAAUUCCUUGUCAGUUAAAUACUGACCUGCAUGAAUGGCGUAACGAGAUGGGAGCUGUCUCAAAGAGGGAUCCAGUGAAAUUGUAGUGGAGGUGAAAAUUCCUCCUACCCGCGGAAAGACGGAAAGACCCCGUGCACCUUUACUACAGCUUGACACUGUAGCUUGGAUAUUCAUGUGCAGGAUAGGUGGGAGGCUAUGAUGACUAGACGCCAGUAGAGUCGGAGCCAUCCUUGAGAUACCACCCUUGAAUAUUUGAGUUACUAACUGCGAUGAGUUAACCUCAUUCAGGACAAUGUCUGGUGGGUAGUUUGACUGGGGCGGUCGCCUCCUAAAUAGUAACGGAGGCUUACAAAGGUUAGUUCAGAUGGGUUGGAAAUCCAUCGUUGAGUAUAAUGGCAUAAACUAGCUUGACUGUGAGACCAACAAGUCGAACAGAGACGAAAGUCGGUCAUAGUGAUCCGGUGGUUCUGCGUGGAAGGGCCAUCGCUCAAAGGAUAAAAGGUACGCCGGGGAUAACAGGCUGAUCUCCCCCAAGAGCUCACAUCGACGGGGAGGUUUGGCACCUCGAUGUCGGCUCAUCGCAUCCUGGGGCUGUAGUCGGUCCCAAGGGUAUGGCUGUUCGCCAUUUAAAGCGGUACGCGAGCUGGGUUCAGAACGUCGUGAGACAGUUCGGUCCCUAUCUUCCGUGGGCGUAGGAAAGUUGAAGAGAUUUGUCCCUAGUACGAGAGGACCGGGAUGAACCAACCACUGGUGUACCAAUUGUUCUGCCAAGAGCAUCGUUGGGUAGCCACGUUGGGAUGUGAUAAGAGCUGAAAGCAUCUAAGCUCGAAGCCAACUCUAAGAUGAACUUUCCCUGAAGUUCCCAGCAAGACUAGCUGGUUGAUAGGCUGGAUGUGUAAUGGGUGUAAGCCCUUUAGCUGACCAGUACUAAUAGAACGUUUGGCUUAUUUU
RNAcentral lists this ribosomal RNA (2912 nucleotides) under Aliarcobacter cibarius. RNAcentral describes it as "Arcobacter cibarius 23S ribosomal RNA". It matches the Rfam family "Bacterial large subunit ribosomal RNA". Lineage: Bacteria; Pseudomonadati; Campylobacterota; Epsilonproteobacteria; Campylobacterales; Arcobacteraceae. The record is from RNAcentral.